AGUGAACGCUGGCGGUAGGCCUAACACAUGCAAGUCGAACGGCAGCACAGUAAGAGCUUGCUCUUACGGUUGGCGAGUGGCGGACGGGUGAGGAAUACAUCGGAAUCUACUUUUUCGUGGGGGAUAACGGAGGGAAACUUACGCUAAUACCGCAUACGUCCUACGGGUGAAAGCAGGGGAUCAUCGGACCUUGCGCGAUUGAAUGAGCCGAUGUCGGAUUAGCUAGUUGGCGGGGUAAAGGCCCACCAAGGCGACGAUCCGUAGCUGGUCUGAGAGGAUGAUCAGCCACACUGGAACUGAGACACGGUCCAGACUCCUACGGGAGGCAGCAGUGGGGAAUCUUGGGCAAUGGGCGAAAGCCUGAUCCAGCCAUACCGCGUGGGUGAAGAAGGCCUUCGGGUUGUAAAGCCCUUUUGUUGGGAAAGAAAAGAAGCAGGUUAAUACCCCGCUGUUCUGACGGUACCCAAAGAAAAAGCACCGGCUAACUUCGUG
This 492-nucleotide ribosomal RNA is filed under the name uncultured bacterium. RNAcentral describes it as "partial 16S ribosomal RNA". It matches the Rfam family "Bacterial small subunit ribosomal RNA", at positions 29 to 507 of the family's 1533-position model. The record is from RNAcentral.